This 799-nucleotide ribosomal RNA is filed under the name uncultured bacterium. RNAcentral's name for it is "bacterial SSU rRNA". It matches the Rfam family "Bacterial small subunit ribosomal RNA", at positions 545 to 1355 of the family's 1533-position model. The record is from RNAcentral.
CCGGAUUUAUUGGGUUUAAAGGGUGCGUAGGCGGCCUUGUAAGUCAGCGGUGAAAUUUUGCAGCUUAACUGUAAAAGUGCCGUUGAUACUGUGAGGCUAGGAUUUGGUUGCUGUGGGUGGAAUGUGUGGUGUAGCGGUGAAAUGCUUAGAGAUCACACAGAAUAUCGAUUGCGAAGGCAGCUCACAAAGCCAAGAUUGACGCUGAGGCACGAAAGUGUGGGGAUCAAACAGGAUUAGAUACCCUGGUAGUCCACACUGUAAACGAUGAUAACUCGCUGUCGGCGAUAUACAGUCGGUGGCCAAGCGAAAGCGAUAAGUUAUCCACCUGGGGAGUACGACCGCAAGGUUGAAACUCAAAGGAAUUGACGGGGGCCCGCACAAGCGGAGGAACAUGUGGUUUAAUUCGAUGAUACGCGAGGAACCUUACCCGGGCUCGAACGGUGCAGGAAUAUGGUAGAGAUAUCAUAGCUAGCAAUAGUCUGUAUCGAGUUGCUGCAUGGUUGUCGUCCGCUCGUGCCGUGAGGUGUCGGCUUAAGUGCCAUAACGAGCGCAACCCUUGUCAGUAGUUACCAUCAGGUCUAGCUGGGGACUCUAAUGAGACUGCCACCGUACGGUGAGAGGAAAGGGUGGGAUGACGUCUAUCAACACUGCUCUUAUGUCCGGGGCGACACAUGUGUUACAAUAGGGUGUACAGAGGGGGGUCAUCUAGCGAUGUAUCGACCCCAUCAAUAGCCUCUCAGUGUCGAGUAGUAGUCUGCUGACACUAGUCUCGAAGAUCGUAGUCGUGGUAUAUGAUCAU